This 1297-nucleotide unclassified non-coding RNA is filed under the name Hevea brasiliensis (rubber tree). The record is from RNAcentral. Lineage: Eukaryota; Viridiplantae; Streptophyta; Magnoliopsida; Malpighiales; Euphorbiaceae.
AAGCUCUUGGUGGAGCCUCACUCUUGUCGACCCUUUGGUUUUGGCAUGCUUGAUCAGGUUCUGCAGGCCUAAGUACUGUUUGAUGGCACCUGCACCAUAUUGACAUGCUGGACAGUGCCACUGUCUAGCUGGGUCAUUGGUCUCCUCUACACUCAAAUACUCCAAUCCCUCAAGAAAUUUCUUGAACCACUUGCUCUUCUUGCAACUCUCAGGGCUCCUUGGACUUGCUUCGGAAUCAUAGUCAUCAGUAUCAGGCAAUGUAUCAGAGUCACUACCAUGAUCAGUGUCUGCAGCAGUAGCAGCACCAGAAAAAGCAGUUUCAAAUUUCUCUACAUCGUCUGCAACUUUUUCUUGGCCUUCUCCUGAACCCUUCCAUGGACUAGAACCAUUACUAUGUUGCCUAUUCAAUCUUUGUCCCAUAGGAGGGAUAUCAUCAAAUAUUGCAGGCAUGUCCUUGAGACUGCUAGAAGCUGAUUUGGUCCCUUCGUUUUCUCUGCUGACUGAUAAUACAGAAUGAGAAUUAUAUUUGUGGUGAAGCACUGAUCGAACCUCUCUAAGCGGCAAAAGAAAUUUAUUUGGAACAUUGCUUGAAGUUGUCUCCUCAUACUUCCUUUUAGGAACUAUCUGCUCGUUAUCAGCCUCUGCAGAAUCAUUAGUACCUGCUAUGUGGUGACUAAACUGCACAAUUUUUUUCACCUCUGGUGGUGAUAGGAUUUUACUGGUUCCAGCAGUGAAAUGCUUUCCAUUGCCAUUUUCUGAACCUGUCUUCGCAUACAAUCCUUUUCUGCAAGUACGUUUUGGAACCAGCUUCGUAGACAGUGCCUUUUCCCACAGGUUGAGCACAUCCUUCGAGAGAACAUUCUUAAAUGUCUCCAAUUGUAAGACACAUUCACAGUUUAAGCCUGGACAUGUAAAAGUCUUCAUGCCCAAUUUGAUCUUUGCCUCCACAUGCUUGCUUAUACAUUCCAAGCAAAUUGGGUGACGACAGUUCCCAUUCUUGAUCAGCUGAUCAUUUUCUUUUUUCCCCAGGCAAUUUUCGCAGAAACCCAUAGAGGAUUCUCCUCUUACUUCCACAUGAACCGAUGGCUUGGCACUUGUCCCAGAAGUUGGCAUUUGACAAGUGAUCAGAGAGGCCUUCAAAGCCUCCUGGAACUGCAAUUCUUCUGCAAAUGCAGCAUCUAAGAGUAGCAUAGUCUCAUCUUCUUCAUUUUUGCCCAAGAAAGGUGGGAAGUGGGCAUCAUUUAGAGGAAAAAUAUCAAAGGCUUGGGCUAUUUCCAUUUUACAAAAUCAAUCUUUG